CCUACGGGCGGCAGCAGUGAGGAAUAGUGGUCAAUGGACGCAAGUCUGAACCAGCCAUGCCGCGUGCAGGAAGACGGCUCUAUGAGUUGUAAACUGCGUUUGUAGGAGGGUAAACGCAGAUACGCGUAUCUGUCUGAAAGUAUCGUACGAAUAAGGAUCGGCUAACUCCGUGCCAGCAGCCGCGGUAAUACGGAGGAGUCAAGCGUUAUCCGGAUUUAUUGGGUUUAAAGGGGGCGUAGGCGGUCGGAUAAGUUAGAGGUGAAAACCCGCGGCUCCACUUCGGAAUGGCCUCUGUUACGGUUCGGCUAGAGCGUAGUUGCGGUAGGCGGAAUGUCUGGUGUAGCGGU
Molecule: ribosomal RNA, 347 nt
Filed under: uncultured bacterium
Lineage: Bacteria
Description: partial 16S ribosomal RNA
Rfam family: Bacterial small subunit ribosomal RNA
Source: RNAcentral